CAAGUCGAGGGGCAGCAUGCACUGUAGCAAUACGGUUGAUGGCGACCGGCAAACGGGAUGCGGAACACGUACACAACCUUCCUUCGAGCGGGGAAUAGCCCAGAGAAAUUUGGAUUAAUACCCCAUAGUAUAUUGAAAAGGCAUCUUUUUAAUAUUAAAGAUUUAUCACUUGAAGAUGGGUGUGCGGCUGAUUAGGUAGUUGGCGGGGUAACGGCCCACCAAGCCGACGAUCAGUAACUGGUGUGAGAGCACGACCAGUCACACGGGCACUGAGACACGGGCCCGACUCCUACGGGAGGCAGCAGUAAGGAAUAUUGGUCAAUGGACGCAAGUCUGAACCAGCCAUGCCGCGUGGAGGAUGAAGGUCCUCUGGAUUGUAAACUUCUUUUAUAUGGGACGAAAAAAGAUCUUUCCAGAUCAACUGACGGUACCAUAUGAAUAAGCACCGGCUAACUCCGUGCCAGCAGCCGCGGUAAUACGGAGGGUGCAAGCGUUAUCCGGAUUCACUGGGUUUAAAGGGUGCGUAGGUGGGUUGGUAAGUCAGUGGUGAAAUCCCCGAGCUUAACUUGGGAACUGCCAUUGAUACUAUCAGUCUUGAAUACCGUGGAGGUCAGCGGAAUAUGUCAUGUAGCGGUGAAAUGCUUAGAUAUGACAUAGAACACCAAUUGCGAAGGCAGCUGGCUACUCGGAUAUUGACACUGAGGCACGAAAGCGUGGGGAUCAAACAGGAUUAGAUACCCUGGUAGUCCACGCCCUAAACUAUGGAUACUCGACAUUUGCGAUACACAGCAAGUGUCUGAGCGAAA
Molecule: ribosomal RNA, 806 nt
Filed under: uncultured Sphingobacteriales bacterium
Lineage: Bacteria; Pseudomonadati; Bacteroidota; Sphingobacteriia; Sphingobacteriales
Description: bacterial SSU rRNA
Rfam family: Bacterial small subunit ribosomal RNA
Source: RNAcentral